RNAcentral lists this ribosomal RNA (1712 nucleotides) under Percolomonas cosmopolitus. Its description in RNAcentral is "partial small subunit ribosomal RNA". It matches the Rfam family "Eukaryotic small subunit ribosomal RNA". The record is from RNAcentral. Lineage: Eukaryota; Heterolobosea; Eutetramitea; Percolomonadida; Percolomonadidae.
AAGGAAACUGCGGAUGGCUCCUUAUAACAGUGAGUACCGGCCUGCUUAGACAAUCUACACGGAUAACCUAGCCAACUGCUAGGCUAAUACGUGACGUCGAUACCGUUUGGCUUGCCAGACGGUAGCGCAAGGCCAGCAUGAAUGCGGCCUUGCAUGGCCAAGCUUCGGCUUGGCCGGCAGACCUACAGAGGUUAAAGUACCUGUCUCGGACAGGUACUACUCUAGGCUGAGCAGACAGCUUUCUGACCCAUUAGCUGGUUGUGAAGGUAGCGGCUUCACAAGGCAGCCAUGGGUACGGGGAAUCAGCGUUCGAUUCCGGAGAGAAAGCCUGAGACACGGCUAUCACAUCUAAGGAAGGCAGCAGGCGCGCAAAUUACCCAAUGCAGACUCUGCGAGGUAGUGAACAGCCAUAGUGACCUGCCCAUGAUUGUGGGCAGGGAGGCCUUCGGGCCUAGCCAUGAUUGACGUCUAAACACCGUCAAGAUCAACUAGUAGAGGACCAGUCUGGUGCCAGCACCCGCGGUAACUCCAGCUCUGCUAGCCUAUGAUAAUACUGUUGUCUUUAAAACGUUCGUAGCCCGCCUAGGAUAGGUCGGGUGUCGGCUGUGUGAGACACCUGCUUGUCUGUCCAGCUCAGCUGGUACAGAUGGACAGGCUGUUGAGCACCUCGGCAGGUAGCUUGCUUCGGCAGGUGACUGUAGCCUACAUCUGGCCUGUCGCGGCGAUAUCGCUAGUAAAUGGAAAUGCUUAAAGUAGGCGAUGCUGGCUUCGGCCAGCCAGCCUGUACUUCAUAGAGUGACACAUCAAUACAGCCAGCUGCUUUUGCAGCUGGCGUGAGCAAUGGGGAGGUCUCAAGCAAGGAGUACUGGCUGGAUAGGGGUGAAAUCCAGUGACCCAGCCAUGACUAGCUGAGGCGAAGGCGCCUUGCUAGAGCCCGCCUCUCGGCGAUGGACGAGAGUGAAGGGCGCGAAGAUGAUUAGAUACCGUUGUAGUCUCCACCGUAAACUAUGCCAGCUCGGCCGGGCCACCUCACCUUUGUGAAGGUUGCCUGGCCCUAGGGAAACUAUUAAGCUCUUCGGCUAGAGGGGUAGUACUGUUGCAAGGCAGAAACUUAAAGGAAUUGACGGAAAAGCACCACCAGGCGUGGAGUCUGCGGCUUAAUUCGACUCAACACGGGGAACCUUACCAGGACAGCACACUGAAUGGAUUGUCGGCUUGCCGAGCCUACCUGAUACUGUGGAUAGUGGUGCAUGGCCAUUCUUAGUUCGUGAAGUGAUUUGUCUCCUUGAUUGAGGUAACGAGCGAGACCCUGAAGGGCUGUUGGGCACGGUCAGUACGCUGGCCGUAGUCUGCCUAGUGCAGCUGCCCCUACCCUGAUCACCGGCGCCUAGCCGGGCGAGACAGGACAAUAAUAGGUCUGUUAUGCCCUUAGAUGCCCUGGGAUGCACGCGUACUACACUGACGGUCACAGCGAGUAGUCUGGCGGAUAGGCCUAGCCUAUUCGCCUGGCUGCGCCGACAGGCGUGGCGAAGCUACAAUGGCCGUCACGGUAAGGAUUGCUGCCUGCAAGGGCAGCAUGAAUGAGGAAUGCCUUGUAAGCGCGCUUCAGCAUAGCGCACUGAAUACGUCCCUGCUUUUUGUACACACCGCCCGUCGCAUCAAGGAACUCAACUGAGGCAAUGAGGCUGCUGGACGAAAGGAAAGCAGCCGAA